UCACUCUGGUUUCCCUUCAAUGGACGGAUAAAUCUUUCGCCUUUUACUAAAGAUUUCCGUGGCGGGGAACGAUUCGAUGAGUCUAUAUGACUAUUUUUUUUUAAGCCCGGCAAUAGCUGGGCU
Cotesia glomerata is the source of this 123-nucleotide small nuclear RNA. RefSeq annotates it as U5 spliceosomal RNA. The record is from RefSeq and is a predicted model, not a curated record. NCBI's taxonomy places the organism in Eukaryota, Metazoa, Arthropoda, Insecta, Hymenoptera, Braconidae. The transcript has a single exon.